Molecule: long non-coding RNA, 173 nt
Organism: Dermochelys coriacea (leatherback sea turtle)
Lineage: Eukaryota; Metazoa; Chordata; Testudines; Dermochelyidae
Exons: 3
Source: RefSeq, a predicted model, not a curated record
GGGAGGGCAAGGGAAGGACUGCAAUGGGCCUGUGGCAGAGCCAGGGGCUGAGCAGUGAGCACCCCCUGGCACAUUGGAAAGUUGGCACCUGUAGCUCCAGCCCCGUAGUCAGUGCCUAUAUAAGGAGGCACAUAUUAACUUCUGAAGAGCCACAGGUUGGCCACCCCUGAACU